Molecule: long non-coding RNA, 3963 nt
Organism: Salvelinus fontinalis (brook trout)
Lineage: Eukaryota; Metazoa; Chordata; Actinopteri; Salmoniformes; Salmonidae
Exons: 2
Source: RefSeq, a predicted model, not a curated record
AGGAUUGUGAAAUACAUGUUAUAACUAUUUGGUUUUAAUAUCAUCACCUAUUGAGGAUAGUCAGAACUGCACACUUCCCGAUUAUUCCAUACAAAACAACUGCGCACAUUUCGCUCUCUAUCAUAGAGCAAGUAACUGCAUGCUUUUCGUGAUCAGUAAACAUCAAUGAUCAUGUCAUUUAAGAUGGGUGAAGACACCUAUCCAUUUGACCUGUAGCUAGCAAACAACAGAAUUUAGUUUGCUUCAUCCGAGAUUAGGUUUUUGGGAAGAGUUUAACAUCGGCAAGUCCUCGUCCUAGUAAAGUUGUCGGACUACUGUCAUCACCGCUAUAGAUGGCAAGCAAAUCAAACAAUAUUUGGAUAUAGCCAUCUAGUUUAUCCCCUGAAAGUUUGCUUGUUAACACCCGUUCUGCCAGUCACAUUCUGUUAAAGGUUCAUUUUGUUAAUGUUACAUUCUGUUAAAGGUCCCCAAAGCACACACACAUCCCUGGGUCGCUCCUCUUUUCAGUUCGCUGCAGCUAGCGACUGGAACGAGCUGCAACAAACACUCAAACUGGACAGUUUUAUCUCCAUCUCUUCAUUCAAAGACUCAAUCGUGGACACUCCUACUGACAGUUGUGGCUGCUUUGCGUGGUGUAUUGUUGUCUCUACCUUCUUGACCUUUGUGCGGUUGUCUGUGCCCCGUAAUGUUUGUACCAUGUUGUGCUGCUACCAUGUUGUUGUCAUGUGUUGCUGCUGUGCUAUAUUGUUGUCUUAGGUCUCUCUUUAAGGAGUGUUGUCUCUCUUGUCGCGAUGUGUGUUUUGUCCUAUAUUUUUAUUUAAUUUAUUUUUAAUCCCAGCCCGGUCCCAGCAGGAGGCCUUUUGUCUUUUGGUAGGUCUUCGUUGUAAAUAAGAAUUUGUUCUUAACUGACUUUCCUAGUUAAAUAAAGAUUAAAUUAAAUAAAACAAAUUGACAUGAUGUUAUUAGCUAGCUAGCCAAUUUUACGUAGUCCAUCAAUCAGUCAAUGUAGCCUGUCUGUCAGCAGAAAUCCUAAUUAAACACUCUUAAAAACAAUAUUGAAAUUGGGAUCAUGUUAGCUAACUUCGUUAGGUAGGCCUACAUUGGUUGGAGAAACAAAUGACACUAGGUUUACUUACCACUAUAUGUUUAGCCAACUGUACAAAGUUUCUACCGGUAUCUUGCAAAGUAAACAUAACCCGUUAUUACGGCUCGUUUUCACUAGCAAGCGGUACAUUACGGUGUUCCGGUUCGGCCGCAGAGAGAGGCUCGUUUGUGGGCAGCAUAUAGCAGCACGGUUUGAAUGUGGGUCAAGAAUCCAGCAUAGCAAGUUUGUAUGAAGGUCUAGAUAUUAAAUUGGUAAAUAAUAAUAUGCUCUAAAACGCUCUGGUGAUAAACAAACUUUGCUGCCCUGUUUCUAAUCGUCCACAUGGCUGGGAGAACCUAUUCAAGUAGGUAAAUAUAUUUAGAAAAUGUUAAAAAAAAACUUUUUUUAAAACGAUGUAUUAUUAGCUAACUAGCUACAGUGCAGGCUUACUCAAAUGAGCUGCUAACAUGGCUAGCUAGCUAUCUAGCCAACUUUACAUACUGUAUAGAUAGCUAGCUAAGUGAAUUAAAUAUCACCAGCUACCUAACUUCAUAUUAUCUAGCUAUCUUGAUGUAUUUAUCACUGUAAAAACAACUCUAAAUGCAUUUGUAGGUAGCUAGCUAACAGCUAUGGAGGUAGGUGAUAGCUGCCCCAACUGUCAAAGUGAGAGAGGAGGCUAUUCUGGACAGGGCAGGUACUUUUGUGUAGUUCCUGUCCCUGGAAGUGAGGACGGAGAUAAUAGUAACAUAAUAUUCAGUGCGGUCUAAUUUGAGUAUAAUCAAGUCUGUUUCUUGUGAGGUUUUCUGUCCUCAGAUACAGAGAGCUGUGGUUCUCAGUCCGUGUCCUGGGGACUCAAAGGGGUGCACAUUUUUGUUUUUUCCAGCUGAUUCAAAUCAUCAACUCUUCAUCAAGUGGUAUUUCUGUAUUCAUUUGUGAUGCUAUCCUUGAUAUGAUCCUGCUAUUGUCACAUGCACAUGUGUGUGUACAUGCAUCUAUCCAAUGUUAUCAUGAUUUGUUAUAAGCGAUAUUCUACUUUAGUAAUCCACAAUGACCUGGUGAUGUUAAUGUCUAAUAAUGACAUUAUCUUCUAAAUUCCUACAGAUACCUUGUAACUGGAGAUUCCUUCAAAACGAUUGCCUGCAGUUACCGUGUAGGGCACUGCAAGGUUGGGUGACCAGGGUCAUCUGGGACUGUCUCCUGGAGGAAUUCAGGUGUGUGAAGGCUACCUGUGUCCUGCAUAACUUCAUGAGGAUGGACACGAGGACCAGGAGGGGAUCUGCAGCUCGCCGCCGCGUGCCAGAGGAGAAGUCUGCUGCUCUGCAGGAUGUUUCAAGGAUGGGGUCAAAUAACGCAGCAAGAGAGGCAAUCCAUGUGCGGGAGAUGUUCACCUCCUACUUCUUCGAAGAGGGUGCUGUUCCCUGGCAACACCAUAGACUACACUAUGCACAACCAAAGGCUCUUUUAAGAGCCAUUCACAUUGCAAUAAGAGUAUUCUUUCAUUUACUUAACUUUGUCAAAUGCAGUUAUUCAAUUCUCAGUUUCUCUCCCUUUGAUUUCUACUUCUCAGGUGAGGUGCUGUUCAGGUGAGGGUGCUGUUCAGGUGAGGGUGCUGUUCAGGUGAGGUGCUGUUCAGGUGAGGGUGCUGUUCAGGUGAGGUGCUGUUCAGGUGAGGGUGCUGUUCAGGUGAGGUGCUGUUCAGGUGAGGGUGCUGUUCAGGUGAGGUGCUGUUCAGGUGAGGGUGCUGUUCAGGUGAGGGUGCUAUUCAGGUGAGGUGCUGUUUAGGUGAGGGUGCUGUUCAGGUGAGGGUGCUGUUCAGGUGAGGGUGCUGUUCAGGUGAGGUGCUGUUCAGGUGAGGUGCUGUUCAGGUGAGGGUGCUGUUCAGGUGAGGGUGCUGUUCAGGUGAGGUGCUGUUCAGGUGAGGGUGCUGUUCAGGUGAGGGUGCUGUUCAGGUGAGGUGCUGUUCAGGUGAGGUGCUGUUCAGGUGAGGGUGCUGUUUAGGUGAGGGUGCUGUUUAGGUGAGGGUGCUGUUUAGGUAAGGGUUUGAUGUCUGUACAAAAACAAAACAGGCUAUUUUAAGUCACCCGUAUUGAAACAAUUUGGAACAAUUAGACACCCUAUAACACACACCUACACACUCAUGUAUCAAUCUGAUUGAUGGAUUGUGUUGUGCAGUAAGCAGGCUCAGGUGUAUAACUGUGGCUCCUUCCACCUUCAAAGAAAGGGCAAGAGGGCCAACCAUGGAGAAUAGUAAGACACUUCAUUAUUUCUAUAACUACGCUAUGUUGUUUGUCCUCGUGUGUCUGGGCAUGUUUCUCAGCAUAAAGUACUCUGCAGCCACUUCGUGUGGUGUGGACACCAGGUGAGGCCACACACAGAUUCCUGUUGAACACUGUGGCUUUAACUACCUUAUUUUCUCAAUAACACUCUCCUUCACUUCAUCCCUCUUUUCCCUAAAUCCUCUAGGUUAUAUCAGCUGUGUCGGUGAACCCCUCCCACAUCUGAUCUGGCUGACAGAGAGGGCACAGCAUAUUCAGAGGUAUGAUUUGAUAUGAGGAUGCCAACCCCCAGUCCCGUCAUCGCCACUUCACCCGCUCUUAAGAUAACCCUCGGGCCGACGAGAGACACUUAUGUAAUUGUGAUGAACUGAGAGAAUAUUAGGGUAGCACUGUGAUUCAUUAAUCAUAUGCUGCCUUCCCCGCUCCUCUGUUCUUACCUCUUUCCCUCCCUCUCUCUUUUACACCUCCCUCGCCACCUCUCGCUUCCUCUGUUUUUAUACUGCACAUCAGAUGUGCAUUGAAGUAAAGAUUGAACUUAUAUUCAAAAUAUUACAAUUAUAAUAUUUGGAUAAUGAAAUUCUUUCAAUAAAGCAUUUGACAUUC